UACGGAGGGUGCAAGCGUUAAUCGGAAUUACUGGGCGUAAAGCGCACGUAGGCGGAUUGUUAAGUCAGGGGUGAAAUCCUGGAGCUCAACUCCAGAACUGCCUUUGAUACUGGCGAUCUUGAGUCCGGGAGAGGUGAGUGGAACUCCGAGUGUAGAGGUGAAAUUCGUAGAUAUUCGGAAGAACACCAGUGGCGAAGGCGGCUCACUGGCCCGGUACUGACGCUGAUGUGCGAAAGCGUGGGGAGCAAACAGG
RNAcentral lists this ribosomal RNA (253 nucleotides) under uncultured bacterium. Its description in RNAcentral is "partial 16S ribosomal RNA". It matches the Rfam family "Bacterial small subunit ribosomal RNA", at positions 524 to 776 of the family's 1533-position model. The record is from RNAcentral.